AUUGAACGCUGGCGGCAGGCCUAACACAUGCAAGUCGAACGGUAACAGGAAACAGCUUGCUGUUUCGCUGACGAGUGGCGGACGGGUGAGUAAUGUCUGGGAAACUGCCUGAUGGAGGGGGAUAACUACUGGAAACGGUAGCUAAUACCGCAUAACGUCGCAAGACCAAAGAGGGGGACUUUCGGGCCUCUUGCCAUCGGAUGUGCCCGGGUGGGAUUAGCUAGUAGGUGGGGUAAGGGUUCACCUAGGCGACGAUCCCUAGCCGGUCUGAGAGGUUGACCAGCCACACUGGAACUGAGACACGGUCCAGACUCCUACGGGAGGCAGCAGUGGGGAAUAUUGCACAAUGGGCGGAAGCCUGAUGCAGCCAUGCCGCGUGUAUGAAAAAGGCCUUCGGGUUGUAAAAUUCUUUCAGCGGGGAAGAAGGGAGUAAAGUUAAUACCUUUACUCAUUGACGGUACCCGCAGAAGAAGCAACGGCUAACUCCGUG
RNAcentral lists this ribosomal RNA (490 nucleotides) under uncultured bacterium. RNAcentral describes it as "partial 16S ribosomal RNA". It matches the Rfam family "Bacterial small subunit ribosomal RNA", at positions 30 to 507 of the family's 1533-position model. The record is from RNAcentral.